This 2789-nucleotide ribosomal RNA is filed under the name Triticum aestivum (bread wheat). RNAcentral describes it as "partial small subunit ribosomal RNA". Lineage: Eukaryota; Viridiplantae; Streptophyta; Magnoliopsida; Poales; Poaceae. The record is from RNAcentral.
CAAGUGCAGUCAGAUAAGGAUGCGCCAGUGCCGCCACCUUUUUCUUGGACAAAAAAAGGAAGAAGUGGGCAUCGGCGAGUGGGGGGUAGUAUAGGGCGUGCUGGCGGCCGGGAGGCCGUCAUAACCUAGGGUGCGACCUCACGGCGGGUAGGGGUUGGGAAGGAGGAAAGGAGCUUAGACGAGGAGGGGUACGACGCGGGUGCCGUGGGUGCGGAGGUGGCGGAGGAGGCGGUCUGGUUUAGGUCGGCGGUGGAGGUCCCGUCGCGGCCACGAGUGGUGCGGUACGGGGGGGAACGAACGUGCGCGGCGAAGAGUGGCGCGGUACCGGCGGGGGAGCGAACGAACGCGGAUAUGUGGUGGCACGAGGAGGGGUGCGUCGAGGGUGCCGCGGAGGUGGUGGAGGAGGAGGCGGCCUGGCUUAGGAUGGCGGAGGAGGUCGGGUCGUGACCACGAGUGGCGCGGUACCGGCGGGGGAACGAACGUGCGCAGCGACGAGUGGCGCGAUACCGUCGGGGGGAGCGAACGAGCGCGGCGGAUAGGUGGUGGUACGCGACGGACGAUAGGCCGCAGAUAAAGCCGGCCGGCCGCCGGUGGCCAUGCUGCAGAGGACCCGCGACCCUGCGUUGUUACGAAGUUUUCGACUUUCAGUACACGAGGACAAGAAGUCAUAAAACUGAUAAAAAACAAAGGAAAGGAGUGUAGUUAGCAUGUGUCGGGUGACGAAGUUGGAGACACGUUGCGGGUUACGAGGUUACCGGGUGUAACAAAUUAGAAGUAACGGUAGUGGCGUUUUUUUUUUACGAAGAGGAUUUUGUCUUUGUUUUUUGGGAGGACGACGUCGGCUACGGAGCGGGGGGUAGUAGGAGGUCAACUGUGGUUGGCGUGAGUAUGACGACGGCGACCACAACCUGCUGAACCUACGGGUCAGUCAGUAGAACUAACAAGGAGGGAGCGACGUAUGUGUCAGUGGAGUCCAAAUGCUGAGGACAACCAUGUAUUACAAGGGUAGGUAUCGGUUAAGACUUUAAGAUAUAGAAACCAAAGAAACCAAUUACACAUCUAAAUUAAAACGAACUAACUUAUGUAUCGGAAGUUAAAAUCAGGACAUAGAUAAGACCUAAAACGAACUACACAGUUAAUCAAACGAAAUAACUUAUGUAUCGGAACGUAAAAUUAAGAAACGGAUAAGGUUUAGACUCAAAUUAAAGUGAACUGCCUUAUACAUCGAAAGGUAAAGUUAAGAAGUCCAAAGAAGAGCCGAUGGAACCCUAGUUGGGAGGUAAAAGAAUAACUUCCAAUGAAGGGGGUGUUCGAGGUCAGACUUCCAGAUGUGUACGGAGCGAAGUCUAACACCCUUUUAAUUAUAAGUCAAAGACUGAUAUAGGCAAACACCCUUCUAAUGAUAUGUCAAACACUGACAUACGUUUAAGUAUAAAGUCAAAUACUCGCAAACACUCUUCUAAUGAUAAGUCAAACACUGAUAUACGUUUAAAUACAAAGUCAAAGACUCGCAAACACCCCUCUAAGGAUAAGUCAAAAACUGAUAUACGUUUAAAUCUAAAAUCUUACCUUGUAAAAAGAAUACAUAUAAAAGAAUGACUUCCAAUGAAGGGUGUGCGCGAGGUUAGACUUCCAUAUACGUCUAAAUGUACAAAAUGACGUUUAGUACUACUGAGUGAAAACAACAACUUAGGUCUUAUCAAGGAGAUGUGAGGGGAGAUAGAUUAACAAGGUACAUCUAAAAUCCAUUUCUCGUAUAUAACACCUACUUAUUUAUCUAAUAAGAGUUGAAAGAAAAUAUACCAACUACAGUCAAGGGGUUUUGACUUAUGACAAUUUCUUUAAUACUCGAAAAAACCGAACUGUCUGUAAUACUUGUGAUAUCUGAGAAUUCUCUUCCUAAAUAGAAACAAAUUGUAAGAGUACGAUGAUAUCGGUGCAACUUCUCAAAGGACCACAGUGUAGACUGAGCUUUAUAGUGUUUAUAUUCACACAUUACUGAUAGAUCCAUGUGAUAUUUAGGCCUUUUUUGUAGUUAAUUCGAGAUAGCAAACUAGAUUAAAAAGGACUAUGUAACACAAACACGUCUUGGGCUAAAAUAUCGUGUACGAGUAUACACGAAGGUAGUCCGACGCAAAACACCCCAGCUACGGAGGGGCUAGCUCCAGGUACGAAGUUCAAUGUAAGCGAGUAUUAACGAUGGAGCGGAAGUUUAUAUGACCAAGAGUCAAUACCAACUGGGAAAACACGUUGUUUAAUAUAACCUAAGGAACGUCAUUAGUGUCACCGACCACCUAUUUCGUUGGAGCGCUCUAGGGUCAGGUACCACUACAACCCCAGAGCGAAGUAGAAGUAGAAUACGUGGUGUGUCGACCGAGAAGCCAAUAAUAACAAUCUCAAUACAGCUUAUAAUAACAUGUUCAAUCCAAUGUUAACAGCACAGGUUCAUCCUGUGAACAUAGGAUCUGGAGAGUAUAUAUCGCCCCCAUCUGUGUGCUACAUUGGAUACGGUUGUAUUAUCGUGCCCGUGCGUCCCCUCGGCCGCCCCACACGGCCGCGGGCCCGCCGGCCCCACGCCAUAACACUGCCACAGUACCCCUCCUCGCGGGCAUCAAUAUACGGGGCCCCUACAUCGGUAUAGCCACUUGGAGCAAUUGUUUAGAGCCACAGCACGAACACGCUAACGAACCAGGAACCAUCUAGCUGCCUCACGGAGUCUAAAUAAGAUUGUUCACUAUAGUACUCGUUCCAAGCUCCUCCGCCACCUCAACUAGGUAUCCUUCCGCUCC